Molecule: long non-coding RNA, 1134 nt
Filed under: Papio anubis (olive baboon)
Lineage: Eukaryota; Metazoa; Chordata; Mammalia; Primates; Cercopithecidae
Description: lncRNA (ENSPANG00000050396.1)
Source: RNAcentral
GUAUAGCCUAGUGCACAGGCCACUAUGGAGUGGGGUCUGGGUCCUCCUUGAGACCAUGAGCUCCCUCCGGCUCCUGACUCAGCUUUGGUGUAUCAAUAAAUGCUGGAAUCUACAAAGCUGUUUUCCUUCUUCAAAGCUAAAACCCACUGUCUACUACCUAAGUCUGCAUAGCUCCUUAGAUAUUCAAUAAUUUAUUCAACCAGCAAAUAUACCUGAGGCUUUUCUUUUUUCUUUUUUCUUUUUUUUACUUUUUUGAUAGAGUUUUGAGCCCAGGCUGGAGUGCAGUGGCAUGAUCUCAGCUCACCGCAACCUCCACCUCCUGAGUUCAAGCGAUUCUCCUGCCUCAGCCUCCCGAGUAGUAGUUGUAGGCUGCCUUCUGCCCCAUUUCUCACCCAGACAAUCCAUUAGAAUGCCAGACUAUAGUGACAGCGUAUUCAUAUAAAAGUGGAAAGUCACUGAAGGAAGUCCUGGAGAAGAUACAAUAAGCAAGACUUGAUGAUGGGCAGAAUGAGGGGUAGAACAGAAAGACAAUCUGAAGCGAGCCUUCAUGUGUGCUCUCAGGAGGGUGUUUACAUGUGUUCAGUCUCGGCUCCAUCGUCUGUAAUAUAGUAAUAAUGACAGCAUUUGCAUUAUAGGGUAGUAGUGGGAGUUAUGGAUGCUAGAUGCUGGCUACUAAAAGGUCAACAAGACUGUACCUGAUAAGGAAAGUGACACACAGAAAGGCUAAGUAACCUCAAAGAGAUUCCAAUCUGGCAUGGAAGAGACAGAUAAGUGAACAGGCAAUCUCAGCAGGCUGUGAUAAAUGCCUCAGAGGAAGCACUGGGUGUGCCACGGACGUGUGGGAGGCGCCCUAUCUUAGCCUGGGUUCCCUAGGAAGAAAGCCGGAGGUGGGUUCUUGAGUCAGCGAGUGACUGAGGAAUAUCCUCAGGUGAAGUCUGUGAGGGAGUGAGGGGAGAAUGGGGCGGGGAAGAAGUGAGAAAAAGAUAUUUGUUUAGCUCAGGAGUUGGUACAUUUUGGCCUUCAGACCCAAGCUCUAUUUCUGUAAAAAAGAGUAUUAUGGGAACACAGCUAUAGUUCUAUUGAAAUAAGUCACAUUCAUUUAAUCGAUAUAUUAUCUAUGGCUACUUUUGCACC